RNAcentral lists this ribosomal RNA (292 nucleotides) under uncultured prokaryote. RNAcentral describes it as "partial 16S ribosomal RNA". The record is from RNAcentral.
CCCUAUGGGGCGCAGAUGGAAAUGUGGGAUGAUAUGAAGUAAGGAUUAGAUCAUUCCGCCACCAAAUUUGACGCUGGAAGGCUUUUCCGGCCAGGGUGAAGGGGUGAGCCUUGGUUGGUGGAGAGCAACGGCGAGAGAGGGGAUUUUGAUGAAAUUUGAAAAAGCAAUAGUACAAGAAAAUGUGGGUGGGCUUUUUUGGAAAGACCUUUUAGCUUUUAAAUCAAUAGAAACAGCUAAAGAGUUUGUUGCAGAUGAAAAGACCCCUGAAGAUUACCGGGUAAUAUGGCGCACG